UACACGGAGAGUUUGAUCCUGGCUCAGAAUGAACGCUGGCGGCGUGCUUAACACAUGCAAGUCGAACGAUAAGAGGGGCUUCGGCCCCUUGGACAGUGGCGCACGGGUGAGUAACGCGUGGGUAACCUACCCUCAAGUUUGGAAUAACGCUUCGAAAGGGGUGCUAAUACCAAAUAUGACCACGAGGACUUCGGUCCAAGGGGUAAAAGGUGGCGAGUCUUUCGGGACGCUACCGCUAGAGGAUGGGCCUGCGUGACAUUAGAUUGAUGGUGGGGUAAUGGCCUACCAUAUUGUCUACGAUGUCUAGCUGGUCUGAGAGGAUGAUCAGCCACACUGGGACUGGAACACGGCCCAGACUCCUACGGGAGGCAGCAGUGAGG
This 380-nucleotide ribosomal RNA is filed under the name Deltaproteobacteria bacterium. RNAcentral's name for it is "bacterial SSU rRNA". It matches the Rfam family "Bacterial small subunit ribosomal RNA", at positions 1 to 359 of the family's 1533-position model. Lineage: Bacteria; Pseudomonadati; Myxococcota; Myxococcia. The record is from RNAcentral.